GAAAAAAAAAUCAGCCAUCCAAAAAUAGCAAUGGGAGCACAUUUAAAAAAAUAAAAAUUCCAAAGCAUCUCAUAAAAGAAAAAUAGGAAAUGUAAGGCCCAAAAUAUCAAGAAGUCAGUGUUACUGCAUCACGUAUUUAACAGCGAGAAGGUGUGCCGGCAUUUAUUUUCUGUGUUGUGAUUUCCCUUGCCUUACAGGCUGAUGUGUUCUGUAGAUUUUGUUGAGGUUCGUAGAGGGAGGUUUCAGGUUAAAGUUUUCUCUUUAGCAUGGCUGUUCCCCUAAAGCUCCCACCCUGGGGAGGAAAUAAAAAAACUCUACUUUUAUAUGUGCUAUGCAAAUAGACAUUUCUAACAUAGUGAUGUUACUAUGGUAACACUUUGCUUUCUGAUUUGGAAAGAAAAUGUAGCAACAGCAUUUUAGGGUUCUCAGACGUGCGGUGAGCCCCUGGAAAUAAAAAAAGAAAAGAAAAAAAUCUGUUAUAGAAAUGAUCACUCUGUUUUCUGAACCUGAGGAUUAUGUUGAGAUGUUGGUCCAAAAGAGAGAAACAAAAACAAAAAAAAUCUCAACCCAUGGUUCUGUGGAAGGUUACCAUGGUGACUAACUACAGUACAUAUGUAAUUCUUUUCAACAACCUUUCCUUUCUGUGAAUCCAUCCAUACAAGGUUCUCUUAUCCUUAGCAGUUAACUGAAUAUUGAUGACUUGCUGCAAACCCCCCCAAAAAGAGCACAGACCAAUCAGGAUUCACCUCACCCAUCAUUUGUGCAGAUGUGAGACAUAUGUGCUGUGUUUAACCUGAAGUGCUAAAGACCCAAGAUACGGAGUAUCUCCCACUGCUUCUGAUUUCUGAACACAACUAUUUAGAAGACUGGGUGCAUUUCAAGUCUUGUCACCUGGA
Neopelma chrysocephalum (saffron-crested tyrant-manakin) is the source of this 896-nucleotide long non-coding RNA. RefSeq lists it as uncharacterized. NCBI's taxonomy places the organism in Eukaryota, Metazoa, Chordata, Aves, Passeriformes, Pipridae. The transcript has 3 exons. The record is from RefSeq and is a predicted model, not a curated record.